CCAAUAGCGUAUAUUAAAGUUGUUGCAGUUAAAAAGCUCGUAGUUGAAUUUCGGGAUCAGUAGGUCGGUCGUGCCACAGGUAUGCACUGGUCUCACUGGUUCCUCCUUCCUGAUGAACCGUAAUGCCAUUAAUUUGGUGUUGCGGGGAAACUGGACUGUUACUUUGAAAAAAUUAGAGUGUUUAAAGCAGGCUAACGCUUGAAUACAUUAGCAUGGAAUAAUGAAAUAGGACGUUCGAUCCUAUUUUGUUGGUUUCUAGGAUUGACGUAAUGAUUAAUAGGGAUAGUUGGGGGAAUUAGUAUUCAAUUGUCAGAGGUGAAAUUCUUGGAUUUAUUCAAGACUAACUACUGCGAAAGCAUUUGCCAAGGAUGUUUUCAUUAAUCAAGAACGAAAGUUAGGGGAUCGAAGACGAUCAGAUACCGUCGUAGUCUUAACCAUAAACUAUGCCGACUAGGGAUCGGAUGAUGUUAAUUUUUUAAUGACUCAUUCGGCGCCUUACGG
This 501-nucleotide ribosomal RNA is filed under the name uncultured Glomeromycotina. Its description in RNAcentral is "partial small subunit ribosomal RNA". It matches the Rfam family "Eukaryotic small subunit ribosomal RNA", at positions 591 to 1093 of the family's 1831-position model. The record is from RNAcentral. Lineage: Eukaryota; Fungi; Glomeromycota.